Molecule: long non-coding RNA, 552 nt
Organism: Bos taurus (domestic cattle)
Lineage: Eukaryota; Metazoa; Chordata; Mammalia; Artiodactyla; Bovidae
Source: Ensembl
GGGAUUUUCCGGGCAAGAGUACUGGAGUGGGGUGCCAUUGCCUUCUCCACUCCCGCAUUGUAGGUGGAUUCUUUACCAGCUGAGCUAUCAGGGAAGCCCUGGAGGCAGGUCAAGCAUUACUAUCCCCAUUUGACAGAUGUAAAUACUGAGGCACCACUUCCAGAGUAGGAAGGACUACCCACAGCUGGGGUCUGAGGAAGUGAAGGCACCCACUACUUUCAGCACCUGCCCAAGGCCUCGCUGCCAGGAAACAGCAGGGGUAGAAGACUGAAGGCAGGCCUUUCACCUUGAUUCUUGCUUCCCUUACCUUGGCCAGCUUUCUCAGAACUGCGAAGUCCAGUCUCCUCUUCUGCUACAGGGACCAUCCCUCCCAGUUCCUCCUGUUUUCCCUCCUCACCCAUUCAUUGGUUCCCCUACCAGCCCCUCCACCUCUGUGCAGCCUCAGACAUGCCAAGAAUCCUUCUAUAGCUGUAUCCUCUCCUUGCCCUAGACUUACAAAGUAUAUCUUUUAAAAAUGCGGUUGCUUUUAGAGUCUUCUCUGAUAGAGAAUAA